GAUGAAGAACGUAGCGAAAUGCGAUACUUGGUGUGAAUUGCAGAAUCCCGUGAACCAUCGAGUCUUUGAACGCAAGUUGCGCCCGAAGCCAUUAGGCCGAGGGCACGCCUGCCUGGGCGUCACACGUCGUUGCCCCCCCAUCUACUCCUUCGGGAUUGCGGGGGGCGGAUGAUGGCCUCCCGUGCGCCUCGCCGCGCGGUUGGCAUAAAUGCCAAGUCCUCGGCGACGCACGCCACGACAAUCGGUGGUUGCGAAACCUCGGUUGCCCGUCGUGUGCGGUCGUCGCGCAUCGAGGGCUCGAAAAAAUUGCUGGGUUCCGGCUCGGCUUUCAACGCGACCCCAGGUCAGGCGGGGUUACCCGCUGAGUUUAAGCAUAUCAAUAAGCGGAGGA
RNAcentral lists this unclassified non-coding RNA (391 nucleotides) under soil metagenome. Its description in RNAcentral is "partial contains 5.8S ribosomal RNA, internal transcribed spacer 2, and large subunit ribosomal RNA". The stretch from base 1 to 122 matches the Rfam family "5.8S ribosomal RNA", at positions 35 to 154 of the family's 154-position model. The record is from RNAcentral.